Molecule: ribosomal RNA, 247 nt
Filed under: uncultured bacterium
Lineage: Bacteria
Description: partial 16S ribosomal RNA
Rfam family: Bacterial small subunit ribosomal RNA
Source: RNAcentral
AUACGUAGGGAGCGAGCGUUGUCCGGAAUUACUGGGUGUAAAGGGUGCGUAGGCGGGACCGUAAGUCAGGCGUGAAAUACCGGAGCUUAACUCCGGGGCUGCGUUUGAAACUAUGGUUCUUGAGUGAAGUAGAGGCAGGCGGAAUUCCUAGUGUAGCGGUGAAAUGCGUAGAUAUUAGGAGGAACACCAGUGGCGAAGGCGGCCUGCUGGGCUUUAACUGACGCUGAGGCACGAAAGCAUGGGGAGC